This 301-nucleotide ribosomal RNA is filed under the name uncultured bacterium. Its description in RNAcentral is "partial 16S ribosomal RNA". It matches the Rfam family "Bacterial small subunit ribosomal RNA", at positions 509 to 809 of the family's 1533-position model. The record is from RNAcentral.
CAGCCGCCGCGGUAAUACGGAGGGGGCUAGCGUUGUUCGGAAUUACUGGGCGUAAAGCGCACGUAGGCGGCUUGGUAAGUUAGAGGUGAAAGCCUGGAGCUCAACUCCAGAAUUGCCUUUAAGACUGCCGAGCUAGCAGGUGAGAGAGGUAAGUGGAAUUCCGAGUGUAGAGGUGGAAUUCGUAGAUAUUCGGAAGAACACCAGUGGCGAAGGCGGCUUACUGGCUCAUACUGGACGCUGAGGUGCGAAAGCGUGGGGAGCAAACAGGAUUAGAUACCCCGGUAGUCCCUGUCUCUUAUAU